CGUCAAGACUGGAAAUCACAGCCCUUGAGUGUGUCUCAGUCAGCGCAGCAGAAUUCAGGGGGGAAAGCUGAAUGCAACCCCUGGUGCAGGAAGGGAGGCUUUUCCUGAGGACCGGGAGAGGAUUUUAAGUACAUAGAAGGAAGCUUCUGGAGAUCCUGCUCCGUCGCCCCAGUGUUCAGACUACCUGUUCAGGACAAUGCCGUUGUACAGUAGUCUGCACAUUGGUUUUGCACACUAGGGACCAAGAAGCCCUCGGGGACACUGCUGAGAAAAGACUGCCGAAGGGAAGACCAGCGGGAGAUAUACAAAUAUUUUAGGGAUCAUGGAAUCUAUUCCAGAGGAAACUAACCAACAGUGAGCAUCUUCAACUAAAACUACCCCUGGAUGUAAUAAGUGUUGCAUGCAUCAUUCCUUUAAUUGAGCAGAGUUAACUGGAUCAAAUUAUUUAUGGGAGAGAGAGGAAAAGUUAUAAAGAAUUAUAGUAAUUUUUAAUUUCCACCAAUAUACUCUUUGCUGAUUGUAUCUGUCUAUGAGCAAAGGAAACCUGAAGGAACCAAGGGCCUGGCUGGACAGAGUUGUCAUGUGUCUGCCUGUCUACACUUGCUGUGCAGAACAUCCGCUCACCUGUACAGCAGGCACAGACAGGCAGUCACAUGACAACCCAGCCUGAAUGACAACCAGCCAUUGAAAGAAAGCAGCCCUCACACCAUAGCAUCUACACCAAGAGCUACAACCAAAAUGAGGGGCUCGGGGGCCUGGGGUUUUAAUCUGUUGGUUUAAUACUUAACUCAUGUAUUAUUUUAUUUUGAUUCAAGUAUUAAAACCCACCAAAAGUAAAGUGAGUGGUGCCUAUGAAAUAUAAUAAAACCCAUUUCUGAAAAUGUUCCUGUGCAUUCUAUAGUUCUCUUUUCCUAAUUGUUGUCAGCAAAUCACUACCCUUGACCUUUAUUGUACACAG
RNAcentral lists this long non-coding RNA (958 nucleotides) under Homo sapiens (human). RNAcentral describes it as "HSALNT0296532". The stretch from base 567 to 667 matches the Rfam family "mir-214 microRNA precursor family". The record is from RNAcentral. Lineage: Eukaryota; Metazoa; Chordata; Mammalia; Primates; Hominidae.